This 24-nucleotide non-coding RNA is filed under the name Arabidopsis thaliana (thale cress). The record is from RNAcentral. Lineage: Eukaryota; Viridiplantae; Streptophyta; Magnoliopsida; Brassicales; Brassicaceae.
UUUGGGCAAGCUUCUUUAUCCUUU